CUUAGGUUGACCUCGGAUCAGGUAGGGAUACCCGCUGAACUUAAGCA
RNAcentral lists this ribosomal RNA (47 nucleotides) under Monascus purpureus. RNAcentral's name for it is "partial 28S ribosomal RNA". The record is from RNAcentral. Lineage: Eukaryota; Fungi; Ascomycota; Eurotiomycetes; Eurotiales; Aspergillaceae.